GGCGGCGUAGCUCAGUGGGAGAGCGAUAGUCUUACACACUAUUGGUCAAUGGUUCAAAUCCGUUCGCCGUCA
RNAcentral lists this transfer RNA (72 nucleotides) under Spirochaetales bacterium. Its description in RNAcentral is "tRNA-Val". It matches the Rfam family "tRNA". From Rfam's summary of the family: Transfer RNA (tRNA) molecules are approximately 80 nucleotides in length. Their secondary structure includes four short double-helical elements and three loops (D, anti-codon, and T loops). The record is from RNAcentral. RNAcentral also lists the same sequence under 1 other name. Lineage: Bacteria; Pseudomonadati; Spirochaetota; Spirochaetia; Spirochaetales.